AAGUGAGAAGCAAAUACUUGCAGUCAGUUUCGACCUGUCCCUAGAUAACAAAAUUUAUCCUCACUUU
Molecule: transfer RNA, 67 nt
Filed under: Apicotermitinae gen. D sp. CAM075
Lineage: Eukaryota; Metazoa; Arthropoda; Insecta; Blattodea; Termitidae
Also listed under: 1 other name
Description: tRNA-Arg
Source: RNAcentral